GUGGCGAAGGCGGCUGUCUGGUCUGUACUGACGCUGAGGACGAGAGCGUGGGUAGCAAACAGGAUUAGAUACCCGGGAGGGCGCCCGUAAACGAUGAAUGCUAAGUGUUGGAGGGUUUCCGCCCUUCAGUGCUGCAGCUAACGCACCAAAAAAUUGCAGCCUGGGGAGUAUGAUCGCAAGGUUGAAACUCAAAGGAAUUGACGGGGGCCCGCACAAGCGGUGGAGCAUGUGGUUUAAUUCGAAGCUACGCGAAGAACCUUACCAGGUCUUGACAUCUUUUGCCAACCUAAGAGAUUAGGUGUUCCUUUCGGGGACAGAAUGACAGGUGGUGCAUGGUUGUCGUCAGCUCGUGUCGUGAGAUGUUGGGUUAGUCUCUUUAUUAGGGCAACCCUUAUUAUUAGUUUUCAGCUUCAGUUGGGCACUCUGUUAGACUGCCGGUGACAAACCGGAGGAAGGUGGGGAUGACGUCAAAUCAUCAUGCCCCUUAUGACCUGGGCUAA
Molecule: ribosomal RNA, 500 nt
Filed under: uncultured Lactobacillales bacterium
Lineage: Bacteria; Bacillati; Bacillota; Bacilli; Lactobacillales
Description: bacterial SSU rRNA
Rfam family: Bacterial small subunit ribosomal RNA
Source: RNAcentral